GACAGAGGGUGCAAACGUUGUUCGGAAUUACUGGGCGUAAAGCGCGUGUAGGCUGCUUCGCAAGUCGGGUGUGAAAGCCCUGGGCUCAACCUAGGAAGUGCACUCGAAACUGCGGAGCUGGAGUCUUGGAGAGGAAGGCGGAAUUCUCGGUGUAGAGGUGAAAUUCGUAGAUAUCGAGAGGAACACCGGUGGCGAAGGCGGCCUUCUGGACCGCAACUGACGCUGAGGCGCGAAAGCGUGGGGAGCAAACAGG
This 253-nucleotide ribosomal RNA is filed under the name uncultured bacterium. Its description in RNAcentral is "partial 16S ribosomal RNA". It matches the Rfam family "Bacterial small subunit ribosomal RNA", at positions 524 to 776 of the family's 1533-position model. The record is from RNAcentral.